Molecule: transfer RNA, 71 nt
Filed under: Loxodonta africana (African savanna elephant)
Lineage: Eukaryota; Metazoa; Chordata; Mammalia; Proboscidea; Elephantidae
Rfam family: tRNA
About the family: Transfer RNA (tRNA) molecules are approximately 80 nucleotides in length. Their secondary structure includes four short double-helical elements and three loops (D, anti-codon, and T loops). Further hydrogen bonds mediate the characteristic L-shaped molecular structure. tRNAs have two regions of fundamental functional importance: the anti-codon, which is responsible for specific mRNA codon recognition, and the 3' end, to which the tRNAs corresponding amino acid is attached (by aminoacyl-tRNA synthetases). tRNAs cope with the degeneracy of the genetic code in two manners: having more than one tRNA (with a specific anti-codon) for a particular amino acid; and 'wobble' base-pairing, i.e. permitting non-standard base-pairing at the 3rd anti-codon position.
Source: Rfam by way of RNAcentral
UCAUUGGUGGUUCAGUGGUAUACUUCUCGCCUUCCAUGCAGGAGACCCGGGUUUGAUUCCCAGCCAAUGUA